CACCGCUAUUGGGGUUCGAUUAAGACAUGCGAGUCGUGAGGGUUCGGCCCUCGGCAGACUGCUCAGUAACACGUGGAUAACCUGCCCUCAGGUGGAGGAUAAUCUCGGGAAACUGAGAAUAAUACUCCAUAGGCCAUUGGUGCUGGAAUGCGCUCUGGCCGAAAGCUCCGGCGCCUGAGGAUGGGUCUGCGGCCUAUCAGGUUGUAGUUGGGGUAACGGCCCAACUAGCCAGCAACGGGUACGGGCCUUGAGAGAGGGAGCCCGGAGAUGGACUCUGAGACACUAGUCCAGGCCCUACGGGGCGCAGCAGUCGCGAAAACUUCACACUGCGGGAACCCGUGAUGAGGGAACCCCAAGUGCCUGGGCAUUAGCUCAGGCUGUUCACCUGUCUAAAAAACAGGUGAAGUAAGGGCUGGGUAAGACCGGUGCCAGCCGCCGCGGUAAUACCGGCAGCCCAAGUGGUGACCCUUUUUAUUGAGCCUAAAACGUCCGUAGCCGGUCCGGCAAAUCUCUGGGCAAAUCGGGCAGCUUAACUGUUCGACUUCCAGAGAGACUACCGGACUAGGGACCGGGAGAGGUCAGAGGUA
Molecule: ribosomal RNA, 587 nt
Filed under: uncultured Thermoplasmatales archaeon
Lineage: Archaea; Methanobacteriati; Thermoplasmatota; Thermoplasmata; Thermoplasmatales
Description: bacterial SSU rRNA
Rfam family: Archaeal small subunit ribosomal RNA
Source: RNAcentral